Molecule: non-coding RNA, 760 nt
Organism: Nicotiana tabacum (common tobacco)
Lineage: Eukaryota; Viridiplantae; Streptophyta; Magnoliopsida; Solanales; Solanaceae
Source: RefSeq, a predicted model, not a curated record
UUCAAUCUCAUCCACCCAUCUUGAUUUAAUCCAACGGUCCUAGUUUGAUCUUCAUCCUAGGUAUUUAAAGCCCAAAAUCCAGAAAAAUUUGCCUCAUUUCCCCCUUAUUUCCUCUCUCUUCUUUCCCUCUCCUUCUUCUCUCUUCUCUUUCUCUUCACUCUCUUUACGCCGCCCCAUCUCCGCCUACAGCCGCCGGUCGGAAAUCGCCACCGCCGGUGGACCACCUCCAAAUACCCCAAAUUCACACAAUGUAAUCUCCACAACUUCCUCUUUCCAUAUCUCCAAACCAAAUCCUUCAAAAAUCCCUCAAACUCCUUGAAUCUUAGAUCUUGGAAACUUUUCCGUCACUUUUUUGCCCAAAUCCUUGAAGCUCCAACCACUACCACCCCACAAUACCUACAUCAAUGGAUAUAGCUCCUCAAGACCUAACUAUUGAUGCCAAUUUCACCCUGAAAAUCCGGCGACCAAAAUCCGGCCAAAUUUCGGCGACCUCCCCGAACAACCUCUUUUGGCAUACCACCAUUUUUUCGGCCACUUGAAUUGUAAAAUGGUAAUCCUUUAAGACUCAUAACGUACGUAUUUUCAGCAAUGGGAACAACUUGAACAUGCUGCACCAUUUAAAUGAUGAAUAAUUUGACAACAAAAGAACUUGUAUGUUAUUGUUAUGUAUCAAGCAUGUGAUAAUGUGAAUAUAGUCCUUCAUAAUACUUGAAUAUUGAGUUGCAAGUUUUUUGAAUGUGAUAUCUAAGUAUGCCAUGAA